Molecule: ribosomal RNA, 356 nt
Filed under: uncultured bacterium
Lineage: Bacteria
Description: bacterial SSU rRNA
Rfam family: Bacterial small subunit ribosomal RNA
Source: RNAcentral
AACGAACGCUGGCGGCAGGCCUAACACAUGCAAGUCGAACGCUGACUUCGGUCAGAGUGACGCACGGGUGAGUAACACGUGGGAACCUACCCUUCGGUGCGGAACAACCCAGGGAAACUUGGGCUAAUACCGCAUACGACCUCGGUGAAGAUUAUCGCCGAGGGAAGGGCCCGCGUCCGAUUAGGUAGUUGGUGAGGUAACGGCUCACCAAGCCUUCGAUCGGUACCUGGUCUGAGAGGAUGAUCAGGCACACUGGGACUGAGACACGGCCCAGACUCCUACGGGAGGCAGCAGUGGGGAAUAUUGGACAAUGGGCGCAAGCCUGAUCCAGCCAUGCCGCGUGAGUGAUGAAGGCC